Molecule: unclassified non-coding RNA, 332 nt
Filed under: soil metagenome
Description: partial contains 5.8S ribosomal RNA, internal transcribed spacer 2, and large subunit ribosomal RNA
Rfam family: 5.8S ribosomal RNA (bases 1-120)
Source: RNAcentral
GAUGAAGAACGUAGCAAAAUGCGAUAAGUAAUGUGAAUUGCAGAAUUCAGUGAAUCAUCGAAUCUUUGAACGCACAUUGCGCCCGCCAGUAUUCUGGCGGGCAUGCCUGUUCGAGCGUCAUUUCAACCCUCAAGCACAGCUUGGUGUUGGGACUCGCGUUAAUUCGCGUUCCCCAAAUUGAUUGGCGGUCACGUCGAGCUUCCAUAGCGUAGUAGUAAAACCCUCGUUACUGGUAAUCGUCGCGGCCACGCCGUUAAACCCCAACUUCUGAAUGUUGACCUCGGAUCAGGUAGGAAUACCCGCUGAACUUAAGCAUAUCACUAAGCGGAGGA